Molecule: ribosomal RNA, 254 nt
Filed under: uncultured bacterium
Lineage: Bacteria
Description: partial 16S ribosomal RNA
Rfam family: Bacterial small subunit ribosomal RNA
Source: RNAcentral
CACGUAGGCACCAAGCGUUAUCCGGAUUUAUUGGGCGUAAAGAGCUCGUAGGCGGUUCAGUAAGUCAGGUGUGAAAUCUUUGGGCUUAACCCAAAGCGUGCACUUGAUACUGCUGUGACUUGAGUUCGGUAGGGGAGUGGGGAAUUCCUAGUGUAGCGGUGAAAUGCGCAGAUAUUAGGAGGAACACCGGUGGCGAAGGCGCCACUUUGGGCCGAAACUGACGCUGAGGAGCGAAAGCGUGGGUAGCAAACAGG